Symphalangus syndactylus (siamang) is the source of this 544-nucleotide long non-coding RNA. RefSeq lists it as uncharacterized. Lineage: Eukaryota; Metazoa; Chordata; Mammalia; Primates; Hylobatidae. The record is from RefSeq and is a predicted model, not a curated record.
CCACUGCUGCACUUCUUUACCCAUAAGUGAGUGCCUUGGUCAAAGGCAAUGCUGUGUGAAAUACUAUGACAGUGGAUAAGGCAUUCUGUGAGUCCAUGGAUGGUAGUCCUGGCAGAAGAAUUGCGUGCAGGAUAGGCAAACCCAUAUCCAGAGUAUUUAUAAAGACAUUUGGAGAGGUAUUAUCAACAUUUUAUAGAAAAGGACCCUCAUCCUGACUAUGCUAUGUUGCCAGAAGAGUCUGUUUCAGAUGGAAUUGUACAUCCAGAUUACCAAGGCAAAAGAAAUAGAAUGCGGCAAAUCAUGCCUAGUUUUUUGAACUUUGGUCUUUAAGUAUCACAUUUUACUCCCUUCUCCUCUCCUCUGGCAAAGCACGUCAUGCCACAGUAAAUAAUUGCAACAUGGUUGAGGAAGUAGAGUUAUAUUAUGUGCCAGAAAGGGAAAAGGGAAUAUUUGUAAUUAGCCAAAAUGACUACUACAUUCACAUUAAUGAAGCUUCCUUUAAAGGAACAGAGUAACAAUAAUAUAAAAUCAAAAUGUUAAGGUA